Long non-coding RNA from Myodes glareolus (Bank vole), 872 nucleotides. RefSeq lists it as uncharacterized. NCBI's taxonomy places the organism in Eukaryota, Metazoa, Chordata, Mammalia, Rodentia, Cricetidae. The record is from RefSeq and is a predicted model, not a curated record.
CCCGGGCGUCACCGACCACCUGACCGCGACCUGUGCGCUCCGCCACGUCGGCGCGGGCGGCGGCGCCGGGCCGGAGUCCUGAAGGUCGGAAAGGCCAGGGAGGGGCUGAAAAGGGAAGGGAAGGGGACGCCGAGGCUGGGCAAGCAGCUGCGAGUCGGUGGCGGUUGCACUUCGCUCACAAGUUUGUGACGCCGAAAGUUUCCUCCCAGGCUUCUGGCCUCGCGACUGCCCCUUUCUCCGCCCCUGUGCACCUGCUCGAACGGAAAACACUCUUUGCAAGGCAUCCUCUGUCUUUAUUUGCUGAGCGUGGCAGCCCCAGGGCGAGCCUGUCUCGCUGGCUGGUCAGACCAGCAGCACAGCAGAGCACAGUGUGGAAGUGGUCACCGUCCAGGAGAAAGACAGGCCAUCCCUGCCCAGACUGGCACAGUUCAAAGAGAUGUGCUUGGAAUUGAAUCCAGGAUGUUGCUCUUGCCAGGCAAGGGAUAUUGCAAGUGAGCUACAUGCCCAGACCUGGCUUUGAGUCAGUGUCUUACAAACAAUUUCACUGGCCCGGGGAUAAAGGUUAGCUUUCCUAAGUAUCAGUGUUCCUCCUGCACAGACAGGGCGGGAGAACAGCAAGCGCAGGGUCGGUGCUGAACAGCCGCACACGCUACUGCUCAGCGGCUAUGCUGCAAGGCCAGAUACACAGCCAAGUCAGCACUGAAGGCCCUGAUUUGAGCCAUUACUGUCCUGGGUUUCUCACGGAUGCUCCUCUGGCUCAUGCCUCUCAUCUCUGAAAUCUUUGGUAGUCAUACUUUACGACAAAAACCCCAAGCAUGAAAAGUGUUUAAAACUUAUUCUGUUGACAUAAAACUUAUAUACCAUUAAAUUCA